AGUCUGUUACUGUGUUUUGUGGACGCUCUGGAGGGUGUGCUACUCCCAAGUUCACAGAGACUCCAUGUUAAGUAAUGUUAGCCACGCAGUUUCAUGUCUCAAUUCACGGUAACAUCCAACGAGGCACAACAGCAGAUGGCAUAAACUUUUUCAGUUUUUCUCUGUCGGAGUAUACCUUCAAACCGGUUUCAGCACCUGCUGACAGAUUACACCGGCGAGCUGCGAAUAUACUCCAAGAAACGAAAUCAUCAACCUAUCACCCAACAUAGAGGACAUCAAAACCAGAUGGCCUGCUCUAUUUGAGCCCUCUCAAAUCCAGGAUGAGUUUCACAGAAUCACAAUGGUGCAUCUUGAAUCAAAGUUCAUGUCUAAGCUGGAUGAAUACACUCCGAGGCUUCUGAACAUCUUCCACUCCAAAGGUGGAACCAUGGGGUUGAGGUUGCAGGCCAUCCUACUCAAGGCUCCAAGCAACCAUAGCAUCAGCAUGACCAGAGAUGUUGUCAUUCGGUGUUUGAUGGUGUACCUUGGGAAUCC
Molecule: long non-coding RNA, 534 nt
Organism: Perca flavescens (yellow perch)
Lineage: Eukaryota; Metazoa; Chordata; Actinopteri; Perciformes; Percidae
Exons: 3
Source: RefSeq, a predicted model, not a curated record